Molecule: transfer RNA, 72 nt
Filed under: Helicanthes elasticus
Lineage: Eukaryota; Viridiplantae; Streptophyta; Magnoliopsida; Santalales; Loranthaceae
Description: tRNA-Thr
Rfam family: tRNA (bases 1-64)
About the family: Transfer RNA (tRNA) molecules are approximately 80 nucleotides in length.
Source: RNAcentral
GCCCCUUUAACUCAGUGGUAGAGUAACGCCGUGGUAAGGCGUAAGUCAUCGGUUCAAAGGGGCUUUUUUUUU